UACAGAGGGUGCAAACGUUGUUCGGAAUCACUGGGCAUAAAGCGUACGUAGGCUGCGCCGUAAGUGUCGGAUGAAAUCCCACGGCUUACCCGUGGAACGGUCCGGCAUACUGCGGUGCUAGAGGAUGGUAGAGGAGAGCGGAACUCUUGGUGGAGCGGUGAAAUGCGUAGAUAUCAAGAGGAACACCGGUGGCGAAGGCGGCAUCCUGGACCGGUAUUGACGCUGAGGAGCGAAAGCUAGGGGAGCAAACGGG
This 253-nucleotide ribosomal RNA is filed under the name uncultured bacterium. RNAcentral describes it as "partial 16S ribosomal RNA". It matches the Rfam family "Bacterial small subunit ribosomal RNA", at positions 524 to 776 of the family's 1533-position model. The record is from RNAcentral.